ACGCUGGCGGCGUGCCUAACACAUGCAAGUCGAACGGAGUUCCUGUGAAUGAAGCUUCGGCAGAUUUCGCUUGAACUUAGUGGCGGACGGGUGAGUAACGCGUGAGGAACCUGCCUUCCAGAGGGGGACAACAGUUGGAAACGACUGCUAAUACCGCAUAAUGCAGCGUGGUCGCAUGACCGUGCUGCCAAAGAUUUAUCGGCAAAGGAUGGGCCUGCGUCUGAUUAGCUAGUUGGUGAGGUAACGGCUCACCAAGGCGACGAUCAGUAGCCGACCUGAGAGGGUGAUCGGCCACAUUGGAACUGAGACACGGUCCAAACUCCUACGGGAGGCAGCAGUGGGGAAUAUUGCACAAUGGGCGAAAGCCUGAUGCAGCAACGCCGCGUGAGCGAAGAAGGCCUUCGGGUUGUAAAGCUCUGUCCUUGGGGAAGAUAAUGACGGUACCCUUGGAGGAAGCCCCGGCUAACUACGUG
This 473-nucleotide ribosomal RNA is filed under the name uncultured bacterium. RNAcentral's name for it is "bacterial SSU rRNA". It matches the Rfam family "Bacterial small subunit ribosomal RNA", at positions 33 to 507 of the family's 1533-position model. The record is from RNAcentral.